GUUCCCGCCCCACCGGCGGAGAGCGGGAUCCGCCCCCAGCCCCGGCCGCGCAGCGCUCCGGGAGCGGCUGAAAGCGGCUCGGAGGGAAAGGCUUUGGGGUGCCCGUGGAGAGCAACUGGACAUGAGCCAGCAGUGUGCCCGGGGGGGCCAGAAGGCCAAUGGCAUCCUGGCCUUAGCAGGAAUAGUGUGGCCAGCAGGACAAGGGAAGGGAUUCUGCCCCUCUGUUCUGCACUGGUGUGAGUACACACCUGCAGACCUGUGUCCAGUUCUGGACCCCUCAGUUCAAGAAAGACAUUGAGGUGCUGAAGCUUGUCCAGAGAAGGACAGUGGAUAUGGGGAAGGGUCUGGAAUACAAGUGUAAGAGGAGCAGCUGAGGGAGCUCGAGGUGUUUAGCCUGGAGAAAAGGAGGCUCAGGGGAGACCUUACCUGAAAGGAGAUUGUACUGAGGUGGGUGUCGGCCUCUUCUCCCAUGCAACAACCGACAGGGUGAAAGUUAUGAUUAACAGUUCUGAAGGAGACAGAAGAGAACCGCCUUCCCUGCGCUUUACCACCAUUUGUUCUUUCUGCACUUUGUGACAAUGCAGCAGUCACCCUUCACCUGUGGGCAUUGUGAAAUGAUGAGGCAGUAUCCUUCUGUGGAGUACACAUUGAUAAGGCCUUGAGACCAUUAUUCCCUUGGCUAAGCUUUUGUUAGAAGCAAAGAGAUAGGAGCCAUUUUGUCAUAUAGCAGUGCAAAUACGUAAAAUGAGAGAGUUAAGGCUUUUUUUUCCCUGUAUGCCCUUUUUCCCCUAAGGGCUCAAUCUUUUCAUGCUUGCAUCAGUGAAACUCAGGAGUAAUUCUGAUGAGGUCUGUGAAGCUGUAAGAGUGCACAGCUGAUGUAACUGGAGGCGGACACAAUCAAGCAUAAUCCAUAGAAUCACAAAAGUAUUUGGGUUGGAAGGAACCUUAAAGAUCAUCCAGUUCCAAUCCCCCAUUCUAAUAUCCCCCUGGGCUGGGACACCUCCCACUAGACCAGGCUGCUCGGAGCCCCAUCCAACAUGGCCUUGAAUACUGUCAAGGCUGGGACAUCCACCACUUCUCUGGGGAACCUGUUCCAGUGCCUCACCACCCUCACAGUAAAGAAUUUCUUCCUCAAAUCUAAUCUAAACCUAAUCUUUUUUCAGUUUGAAGCCAUUCCCGCUUGUCCUAUCAUUACAGUUCCUGAUGGAAAGUCCCUCUCUAACUUUCUUGUAGACCCUCAUCAGAUACUG
Molecule: long non-coding RNA, 1250 nt
Organism: Pseudopipra pipra
Lineage: Eukaryota; Metazoa; Chordata; Aves; Passeriformes; Pipridae
Exons: 3
Source: RefSeq, a predicted model, not a curated record